CCUACGGGAGGCAGCAGUGAGGAAUAUUGGUCAAUGGGCGCGAGCCUGAACCAGCCAAGUAGCGUGAAGGAUGACUGCCCUACGGGUUGUAAACUUCUUUUAUAAAGGAAUAAAGUGAGGCACGUGUGCCUUUUUGUAUGGACUUUAUGAAUAAAGAUCGGCUAACUCCAUUCCAGCAGACGCGGUAAUACGGAGGAUCCGAGCGUUAUCCGGAUUUAUUGGGUUUAAAGGGAGCGUAGAUGGGUUGUUAAGUCAGUUGUGAAAGUUUGCGGCUUAACCGUAAAAUUGCAAUUGAUACUGGCAGUCUUGAGUACAGUUGAGGUAGGCGGAAUUCGUGGUGUAGCGGUGAAAUGCUUAGAGAUCACGAAGAACUCCGAUGGCGAAGGCAGCUUACUAAACUGCCACUGACAUUGAUGCUCGAAAGUGUGGGUAUCAAACAGGAUUAGAUACCCCAGUAGUC
RNAcentral lists this ribosomal RNA (460 nucleotides) under uncultured bacterium. RNAcentral's name for it is "partial 16S ribosomal RNA". It matches the Rfam family "Bacterial small subunit ribosomal RNA", at positions 338 to 795 of the family's 1533-position model. The record is from RNAcentral.